CAUUACCGAAUCGUCGACACGAGUUGUUGCUGGCCUUCAAGCGGGGGCAUGUGCACGCUCUGUUUGCAUCCACUCACACCUGUGCACCCUUUGUAGUUCUGCGGCAUGGGAGAUCCCGUCUCCCUUCUGUGGUUCUGCGUCUUUACACACACACUGUAACAUGGUCUUAUGGAAUGUAAGCGGCGUUUAACGCAAUACAAUACAACUUUCAGCAACGGAUCUCUUGGCUCUCGCAUCGAUGAAGAACGCAGCGAAAUGCGAUAAGUAAUGUGAAUUGCAGAAUUCAGUGAAUCAUCGAAUCUUUGAACGCACCUUGCGCCCUUUGGCUAUUCCGAAGGGCAUGCCUGUUUGAGUAUCGUGAACACCUCAACUCCUCACGGUUUGCCGUGAUGAGCUUGGACUUUGGAGGUUUUGCUGGCCCACGGUCUGCUCCUCUCAAAUAAAUUAGCUUGCCAGUGCAUGGCAGCGCCACAGGUAUGAUAACUAUCUGCGCUCGUGGUUGCAUGCCAGAUAACCUUCGGCAUUGAAGGUUUGCUGGGGCUCAUAAACGUCUCUCCUCAGUGAAGACAGCUUUUGAACGUUUGAUCUCAAAUCAGGUAGGACUACCCGCUGAACUUAAGCAUAUCAAUAAGCGGAGGAAAAGAAACUAACAAGGAUUCCCCUAGUAACUGCGAGUGAAGCGGGAAGAGCUCAAAUUUA
Molecule: ribosomal RNA, 699 nt
Filed under: uncultured fungus
Lineage: Eukaryota; Fungi
Description: eukaryotic LSU rRNA
Rfam family: 5.8S ribosomal RNA (bases 204-358)
Source: RNAcentral